CGCGUAGGCGGAUAUGCAAGUGAGAUGUGAAAUACCCGGGCUUAACCUGGGAACUGCAUCUUAAACUGCGUAUCUGGAGUACUGUAGAGGAUAGUGGAAUUUCCGGUGUAGCGGUGAAAUGCGUAGAGAUCGGAAGGAACACCAGUGGCGAAGGCGACUGUCUGGACAGAUACUGACGCUGAGGCGCGAGAGCGUGGGGAGCAAACAGGAUUAGAUACCCUGGUAGUCCACGCUGUAAACGAUGAGAACUAGAUGUUGGUGGGCCUAGCCCAUUAGUAUCGAAGCUAACGCGAUAAGUUCUCCGCCUGGGGAGUACGGCCGCAAGGUUAAA
This 331-nucleotide ribosomal RNA is filed under the name uncultured bacterium. RNAcentral's name for it is "bacterial SSU rRNA". It matches the Rfam family "Bacterial small subunit ribosomal RNA", at positions 568 to 898 of the family's 1533-position model. The record is from RNAcentral.